GCCUACGGGGCGCAGCAGUGGGGAAUAUUGCACAAUGGGGGAAACCCUGAUGCAGCAACGCCGCGUGAGUGAAGAAGUCAUUCGUGAUGUAAAGCUCUAUCAGCAGGGAAGAAAAUGACGGUACCUGAGUAAGAAGCCCCGGCUAACUACGUGCCGGCAGCCGCGGUAAUACGUAGGGGGCAAGCGUUAUCCGGAUUUACUGGGUGUAAAGGGAGCGUAGACGGCAGUGCAAGUCUGAAGUGAAAGGCAAGGGCUCAACCCUUGGACUGCUUUGGAAACUGUGCUGCGGGAGUGUCGGAGAGGCA
Molecule: ribosomal RNA, 305 nt
Filed under: uncultured bacterium
Lineage: Bacteria
Description: bacterial SSU rRNA
Rfam family: Bacterial small subunit ribosomal RNA
Source: RNAcentral